UACGUAGGGAGCGAGCGUUAUUCGGAAUUACUGGGCGUAAAGCGUGCGCAGGCGGCGUUUUAAGUCGAAUGUUAAAGCCUUCGGCUUAACCGUAGGGAUUCAUUCGAAACUGGCAAUCUUGAGUUCGGCAGAGGAUAGUGGAAGUCAUUGUGUAGCGGUGAAAUGCGUAGAUAUCUUGAGGAACACCAGUGGCGAAGGCGGCUAUCUGGACCGGAACUGACGCUAAGGCACGAAAGCGUGGGUAGCAAACAGG
RNAcentral lists this ribosomal RNA (253 nucleotides) under uncultured bacterium. RNAcentral describes it as "partial 16S ribosomal RNA". It matches the Rfam family "Bacterial small subunit ribosomal RNA", at positions 524 to 776 of the family's 1533-position model. The record is from RNAcentral.